GUUGACCUCGGAUCAGGUAGGAAUACCCGCUGAACUUAAGCAUAUCAAUAAGCGGAGGAAAAGAAACCAACAGGGAUUGCCCCAGUAACGGCGAGUGAAGCGGCAACAGCUCAAAUUUGAAAUCUGGCCCCAGGCCCGAGUUGUAAUUUGCAGAGGAUGCUUUUGGCGCGGUGCCUUCCGAGUUCCCUGGAACGGGACGCCAUAGAGGGUGAGAGCCCCGUACGGUUGGACACCAAGCCUUUGUAAAGCUCCUUCGACGAGUCGAGUAGUUUGGGAAUGCUGCUCUAAAUGGGAGGUACAUUUCUUCUAAAGCUAAAUAUUGGCCAGAGACCGAUAGCGCACAAGUAGAGUGAUCGAAAGAUGAAAAGCACUUUGAAAAGAGGGUUAAACAGCACGUGAAAUUGUUAAAAGGGAAGCGCUUGUGACCAGACUUGCGUCCGGUGAAUCACCCAGCUCUCGCGGCUGGGGCACUUCGCCGGCACAGGCCAGCAUCAGCUUGCCGUCGGGGACAAAAGCUUCAGGAACGUAGCUCCUCUCGGGGAGUGUUAUAGCCUGUUGUAUAAUACCCUUCGGCGGGCUGAGGUACGCGCUCCGCAAGGAUGCUGGCGUAAUGGUCAUCAGCGACCCGUCUUGAAACACGGACCAAGGAGUCAACCUUAUGUGCGAGUGUUUGGGUGUUAAACCCCUACGCGUAAUGAAAGUGAACGCAGGUGAGAGCUUCGGCGCAUCAUCGACCGAUCCUGAUGUUCUCGGAUGGAUUUGAGUAAGAGCAUAUAGGGUUGGACCCGAAAGAAGGUGAACUAUGCGUGUGUAGGGUGAAGCCAGAGGAAACUCUGGUGGAGGCUCGCAGCGGUUCUGACGUGCAAAUCGAUCGUCAAACAUGCGCAUGGGGGCGAAAGACUAAUCGAACCUCUA
Molecule: ribosomal RNA, 915 nt
Filed under: Colletotrichum acutatum
Lineage: Eukaryota; Fungi; Ascomycota; Sordariomycetes; Glomerellales; Glomerellaceae
Description: eukaryotic LSU rRNA
Rfam family: Eukaryotic large subunit ribosomal RNA
Source: RNAcentral